RNAcentral lists this non-coding RNA (31 nucleotides) under Rattus norvegicus (Norway rat). Lineage: Eukaryota; Metazoa; Chordata; Mammalia; Rodentia; Muridae. The record is from RNAcentral.
UCCUAACUUAUAUAAAAUGUAGAGAAGAAGC